RNAcentral lists this ribosomal RNA (506 nucleotides) under uncultured bacterium. Its description in RNAcentral is "partial 16S ribosomal RNA". It matches the Rfam family "Bacterial small subunit ribosomal RNA", at positions 30 to 523 of the family's 1533-position model. The record is from RNAcentral.
AUUGAACGCUGGCGGCAGGCCUAACACAUGCAAGUCGAACGGUAACAGGAAACAGCUUGCUGUUUCGCUGACGAGUGGCGGACGGGUGAGUAAUGUCUGGGAAACUGCCUGAUGGAGGGGGAUAACUACUGGAAACGGUAGCUAAUACCGCAUAACGUCGCAAGACCAAAGAGGGGGACCUUCGGGCCUCUUGCCGUCGGAUGUGCCCAGAUGGGAUUAGCUAGUAGGUGGGGUAACGGCUCACCUAGGCGACGAUCCCUAGCUGGUCUGAGAGGAUGACCAGCCAAACUGGAACUGAGACACGGUCCAGACUCCGACGGGAGGCAGCAGUGGGGAAUAUUGCACAAUGGGCGCAAGCCUGAUGCAGCCAUGCCGCGUGUAUGAAGAAGGCCUUCGGGUUGUAAAGUACUUUCAGCGGGGAGGAAGGGAGUAAAGUCAAUACCUUUGCUCAUUGACGUUACCCGCAGAAGAAGCACCGGCUAACUCCGUGCCAGCCGCCGCAGUAA